AAUGCAGUCGAGCGAAUGAUGAAGAAGCUUGCUUCUUCUGAUUUAGCGGCGGACGGGUGAGUAACACGUGGGCAACCUACCUAGUAGAUUGGGAUAACUCCGGGAAACCGGGGCUAAUACCGAAUAAUUCAUUUCACCUCAUGGUGAGAUGCUGAAAGGCGGUUUCGGCUGUCACUACUAGAUGGGCCCGCGGUGCAUUAGCUAGUUGGUGGGGUAAUGGCCUACCAAGGCAACGAUGCAUAGCCGACCUGAGAGGGUGAUCGGCCACAUUGGGACUGAGACACGGCCCAAACUCCUACGGGAGGCAGCAGUAGGGAAUCUUCCACAAUGGACGAAAGUCUGAUGGAGCAACGCCGCGUGAGUGAUGAAGGUUUUCGGAUCGUAAAACUCUGUUGUAAGGGAAGAACAAGUACGUUAGUAACUGAACGUACCUUGACGGUACCUUAUUAGAAAGCCACGGCUAACUACGUGCCAGCAGCCGCGGUAAUACGUAGGUGGCAAGCGUUGUCCGGAUUUAUUGGGCGUAAAGCGCGCGCAGGUGGUUUCUUAAGUCUGAUGUGAAAGCCCACGGCUCAACCGUGGAGGGUCAUUGGAAACUGGGAGACUUGAGUGCAGAAGAGGAAAGUGGAAUUCCAAGUGUAGCGGUGAAAUGCGUAGAGAUUUGGAGGAACACCAGUGGCGAAGGCGACUUUCUGGUCUGUAACUGACACUGAGGCGCGAAAGCGUGGGGAGCAAACAGGAUUAGAUACCCUGGUAGUCCACGCCGUAAACGAUGAGUGCUAAGUGUUAGGGGGUUUCCGCCCCUUAGUGCUGCAGCUAACGCAUUAAGCACUCCGCCUGGGGAGUACGGCCGCAAGGUUGAAACUCAAGAAA
This 873-nucleotide ribosomal RNA is filed under the name bacterium AH1BSX+2aut. RNAcentral describes it as "bacterial SSU rRNA". It matches the Rfam family "Bacterial small subunit ribosomal RNA", at positions 54 to 908 of the family's 1533-position model. The record is from RNAcentral.